This 398-nucleotide ribosomal RNA is filed under the name uncultured bacterium. Its description in RNAcentral is "partial 16S ribosomal RNA". It matches the Rfam family "Bacterial small subunit ribosomal RNA", at positions 338 to 733 of the family's 1533-position model. The record is from RNAcentral.
CCUACGGGCGGCAGCAGUGAGGAAUAUUGGUCAAUGGUCGGGAGUCUGAACCAGCCAAGCCGCGUGAAGGAGGAAGGUACAGAGUAUCGUAAACUUCUUUUGUAAGGGGACAAACCCUGGGACGUGUCCCCGGUUGAGUGUACCUGACGAAUAAGCAUCGGCUAACUCCGUGCCAGCAGCCGCGGUAAUACGGAGGGUGCGAGCGUUAUCCGGAUUUAUUGGGGUGAAAGGGUGCGCAGGCGGUUUGUUAAGUCAGCGGUGAAAGCCCGGGGCUCAAACCCGGCACCGCCGUUGAGACUGUUGGUCUCGAGUAGGGGAGAGGUAGGCGGAAUGCAUGGUGUAGCGGUGAAAUGCAUAGAUAUCAUGCAGAACACCGAUUGCGAAGGCAGCAUGCCGGA